Molecule: non-coding RNA, 883 nt
Organism: Macaca mulatta (Rhesus monkey)
Lineage: Eukaryota; Metazoa; Chordata; Mammalia; Primates; Cercopithecidae
Source: RefSeq, a predicted model, not a curated record
UGCAGAUGGAAAAGGCUCUGGCUAAUUUGUGUCUAUGGGUGGAUCCCCACCUUAGGGUGCAGCCCAAGUCUUAUGCCUUCACUUGAAGACCCCCCUCUGAUCUCUACAGCUCUGUGAUGGUAGAACUGUUAAUUUCACCUCCUUUCGACAUAUGAGAAAACUAAAGCUCAGAGAGGUCAAGUCAGCUGUCCAAGGUCACACAGCUGGAGUAGCAGAACGAGGAUUUGAACCCAGAUCUCCUGCCUCUAGCGUCCAUGAUUGUGAACACUUCACUGUGUUGCCUUCAUUCAUUCUAUGAAGGCCUUGGACUAGAUUUCAUCCAUGAUCCCACAUUACACUCACGUCUUCAUGUCUCCUCAGCCUCUGCUUGGCUGUGACAGUCUUGCAGAUUUUCCUUGUUUUUGAUGGCCUUGAUAGUUUUGAGGAGUACUAGUCAGAUAUUUUGGAGAAAGUCCAUCUGUGGGAAUGUUUUUCUCAGAACGGGACCAGGUGCUGUGGUUUGAACGUGUCCCCUCAAAGUUCGCGUGUUGGAAACUGAAUCUCCAAUGCAACAGUGUUAAGAGGUAGGACCUUUAAAAGGGGAUUAGGUCGUGAGGGCUCUGCCUUCAAGAAUGAAUGAAUGCCUUUAUCUCUGGAUGGGUUAGUUAUUUUGAGAAGAGUUACUGAUAAAAGGAUAAGUUUGCCUCCUUUCGCUUUCCUUCCCUUCUCUCUUUCUCUCCCUCUUUCUCCCUCCCUCCCUCUCUCUCUCCCCACUUCCCAUGUGCUCUCUUGCCCUCCCACUUCGGCCAUCAGAAGACACACAAGAAGGCCGUUGCUGAUGCAGGCCCCUCGACCUUGGACUUCUCAGCCUCCAGAGCUGCAAGAAAUAAAUCUCUGUUCUUCA